Molecule: non-coding RNA, 25 nt
Filed under: Cricetulus griseus (Chinese hamster)
Lineage: Eukaryota; Metazoa; Chordata; Mammalia; Rodentia; Cricetidae
Source: RNAcentral
CAAGUGCUGGGAUUAGAGAUGUGCG